RNAcentral lists this non-coding RNA (28 nucleotides) under Homo sapiens (human). The record is from RNAcentral. Lineage: Eukaryota; Metazoa; Chordata; Mammalia; Primates; Hominidae.
UCAGCCUGAAAUGAUACCCAAAUAAGAG